GUGGGCAUGAGUGAGCCUUGUGGAAAACUGGAAGAAGAAUUUUAGAUAGAAAGAACUGCCAGUGCAAAGGCUCUGAGUCAAGAUGUACCUGCUGUGUUUGAGGAACCACAGGAAGCCAGUACUGCAGGAGGAGAAUAGACUGGAGGGGCAAGGGGAGAAGCAAGGAGACCAUUAUGAGACUAUAGGUAGCCCAGGCUGGUAGCAGGAGAGAUGAGGGUGAGAAGUGGUUGGAUUCUAAGGUGGAGUGGAGAAGAUUUGCUCAUGAAUUGGUCAUAAACUCUGAGAGAAAUAAAGGAAUCAAAGAUGACUCCAAGCUCUUUGGCCUUAGCCAAUGGAAGAAUGGAGUUGGCAAAAAUGGAGAAGAUGGUAGGAAAAGCAGACGUGGGUUGUAUGUAUAGGGUCAGAUCAGGAGUUAGGUUUUAGACAUGUUAGAUUUCAGAUGCAAAUUAGACAUCCAAAAGGAAGUGUCCAGCAGGCAUGUGUUUUAGGAGCCUGGGCUCAGAGGAGAGGUUUGAACCGCUGCAGAUGAUGCUGCCACAGCAUGGCCUGACAAGUGGUGUGUAGGUCCAUGCCCAGCACCUGAACCGACGAACCCUGGGCCGCCGAAGCAGAACAUGCCAACUUAACCACUCGACCACAGAGCUGGCCCUUUGUGAUCUUUUUAAUAUCUGCCUGAAUAGAAGACAGCUGAAUUUUCAUAUCUCUUCUGCAUUUAGUCUACUGUUAUAUAUUGCUUUGGUUGAAGGAGGUGAAGGAAAAUCAGCCUCACAGAGACAUGUAGGAAAAGGGACUUCCUCAGAGACCCCUUGAAGGGAUCUUGGGGGCCCCCAAGGAUCCUCAGACCACACUUUGGAAAUUGCUGAUUUAAAUUCAUAAAACUGGAUGAAAUCCCUAAGGGAGAAGAGAAGAGACCCAAGGACUCAGCCCCGGGCGUAGAGAUUUCAAGAGACCAGGGAGAUGGAGACAAACCAGCAAAGGAGACUGAGGUAGGAGGAAAACCAAGAGGUGGUGACCUGGAAGCCAAGCGGAGAAGGGUUUGUGCGUGUGUAUGCUGGUAGACCCUGAAUGGAGUGAGUAUUCCCACUGCCAAUUGUGCUGGGAUAGAAAAUCAGGCCAUAUUGGAGGCAGGCCUUAGAGGGAGGAACAUCUUUAAUGUUUAGAGGAGUUGUUGGGGUGGGAGAGGUUAGCUGGGCCCUGCCACAGGUGGGCAAGCAGGAGCUGGGCAGGGAGGUGAUUUAUAAGCAUCCCUGACAAGGAAUCUAGGCCUCAGAGCUUUGAGCUUAAAUGCUACCAGACACCUUCUAUCUGCAGUCCUUCCCUUCGAUUAACACCAAGUGCUUUAACAAAUUGUGAGAUUUAAGAGGAAGGGCAAGUUUGAGCUUAGGAUGGAGCAGCAUUGAGAAGGCUGAUUCCCCACUCCUUCAUCCUUGUUCCAGUCCCUCCAAGCCAGACUGAUGGACAAGCCAGUGGCCUGAGGGAGGUGGCACAACCUGGGGCUGCAGGUGGAGACCGAAGAAGAUUCAUUGCAGUGUCUUGGCACAGGGACAACAGCAGGGUGCCUUCACAAGGAAGACCAGGGAGAAGAACUCAGCAGCCCUGGUCCUGAGCUCACAUUGACAGCUCUUCUGUGAGGGGCUGAGUCAUGUGGAGCUUGGCAUCCCCACUCUCUGGUAACCCAUCACUGUAUGACCUUGUGAAGUAGCCUCAGGCCAGAGUGGCCAGGGCAGCACUGGGAGUUCCUAAGAUGGAGACAGGGCAGCAGCAUUUCCCCAGCUGAUCUCCCCUGUGAACUGCUGGUCUAGAGGCACGUUAAGGGAUUGGUAUUCCAGGAAACACAUGCUGAUUCAUGCAGAUAUAAAACCAGAGGAGAUGGAAGGGACCUCUGAGGAUAUGUUGGUUCACUGGUUCUCAUCUGGGGGCAUUGGAAUCACCUGGGUACUUGAAAAUACAGAGCCUUGGGCCCCAUCCAGACCUACUGAAUUAGAAUCUCUGAUGACGGUGAGGGUCUGGCAUGCAUAUUAUUAUUACUUUUUUUUUUUUUUUGAGGAAGAUUAGCCCUGAGCUAACAUCUGCUGCCAAUCCUCCUCUUUUUGCUGAGAAAGACUGGCCCUGAGCUAACAUCUGUGCCCACCUUCCUCUACUUUAUAUGUGGGACGUCUACCACAGCACGGCUUGCCAAGCGGUGCCAUGUCCGCACCUGGGAUCUGAACCGGCGAACCCCGGGCACUGAAGCAGAACGUGCG
RNAcentral lists this long non-coding RNA (2243 nucleotides) under Equus caballus (horse). Its description in RNAcentral is "lncRNA (ENSECAG00000050227.1)". The record is from RNAcentral. Lineage: Eukaryota; Metazoa; Chordata; Mammalia; Perissodactyla; Equidae.